This 803-nucleotide ribosomal RNA is filed under the name uncultured bacterium. Its description in RNAcentral is "SSU rRNA". It matches the Rfam family "Bacterial small subunit ribosomal RNA", at positions 70 to 853 of the family's 1533-position model. The record is from RNAcentral.
AAGGAGGAGCUUGCUUCUCUGGAUGAGUUGCGAACGGGUGAGUAACGCGUAGGUAACCUGCCUGGUAGCGGGGGAUAACUAUUGGAAACGAUAGCUAAUACCGCAUAAGAGUAGAUGUUGCAUGACAUUUGCUUAAAAGGUGCAAUUGCAUCACUACCAGAUGGGACCCUGCGUUGUAUUAGCUAGUUGGUGAGGUAACGGCUCACCAAGGCAACGAUACAUAGCCGACCUGAGAGGGUGAUCGGCCACACUGGGACUGAGACACGGCCCAGACUCCUACGGGAGGCAGCAGUAGGGAAUCUUCGGCAAUGGACGGAAGUCUGACCGAGCAACGCCGCGUGAGUGAAGAAGGUUUUCGGAUCGUAAAGCUCUGUUGUAAGAGAAGAACGAGUGUGAGAGUGGAAAGUUCACACUGUGACGGUAUCCUUACCAGAAAGGGACGGCUAACUACGUGCCAGCAGCCGCGGUAAUACGUUAGGUCCCGAGGCGUUGUCCGGAUUUAUUGGGGCGUAAAGCGAGCGCAGGCGGUUAGAUAAGUCUGAAGUUAAAGGCUGUGGCUUAACCAUAGUACGCUUUGGAAACUGUUUGACUUGAGUGCAAGAGGGGAGAGUGGAAUUCCAUGUGUAGCGGUGAAAUGCGUAGAUAUAUGGAGGAACACCGGUGGCGAAAGCGGCUCUCUGGCUUGUAACUGACGCUGAGGCUCGAAAGCGUGGGGAGCAAACAGGAUUAGAUACCCUGGUAGUCCACGCCGUAAACGAUGAGUGCUAGGUGUUAGACCCUUUCCGGGGUUUAGUGCCGCAGCU